This 653-nucleotide ribosomal RNA is filed under the name uncultured bacterium. Its description in RNAcentral is "bacterial SSU rRNA". It matches the Rfam family "Bacterial small subunit ribosomal RNA", at positions 56 to 749 of the family's 1533-position model. The record is from RNAcentral.
UGCAAGUCGUACGAGAGUUUUUAACUCAAGUGGCGGACGGGUGAGUAACACGUGAGUAUUUACCUUUAGGAGGGGGACAACAAUUGGAAACGAUUGCUAAUACCCCAUAUGCUUUAGAGUGAAAUGGAUUUAUCCGCCUAAAGAAAAGCUCGCGGCUGAUUAGCUAGUUGGUAAGGUAAUGGCUUACCAAGGCGACGAUCAGUAUCUGGUUUGAGAGGACGAUCAGACACACUGGAACUGAGACACGGUCCAGACUCCUACGGGAGGCAGCAGUGGGGAAUUUUCCGCAAUGGGCGAAAGCCUGACGGAGCAAUACCGCGUGAGGGAAGACUGCCUAUGGGUUGUAAACCUCUUUUUUCAGGGAGGAAUAAAUGACGUGUACCUGAAGAAUAAGCAUCGGCUAACUCCGUGCCAGCAGCCGCGGUAAGACGGAGGAUGCAAGUGUUAUCCGGAAUCACUGGGCGUAAAGCGUCUGUAGGUGGUUAGGUAAGUCAACUGUUAAAUCUUGAGGCUCAACCUCAAAAUCGCAGUCGAAACUAUCUGACUAGAGUAUAGUAGAGGUAAAGGGAAUUUCCAGUGGAGCGGUGAAAUGCGUAGAUAUUGGAAAGAACACCGAUGGCGAAGGCACUUUACUGGGCUAUUACUGACACUCA